Molecule: ribosomal RNA, 326 nt
Filed under: uncultured eukaryote
Lineage: Eukaryota
Description: partial 18S ribosomal RNA
Rfam family: Eukaryotic small subunit ribosomal RNA
Source: RNAcentral
CCCUUAGAUGUUCUGGGCCGCACGCGCGCUACGCUGAUGCAUUCAACGAGCCUAGCCUUGACCGAGAGGUCCGGGUAAUCUUUGAAACUGCAUCGUGAUGGGGCUAGAUUAUUGCAAUUAUUAAUCUUCAACGAGGAAUGCCUAGUAAGCGUGAUUCAUCAAAUCGCGUUGAUUACGUCCCUGCCCUUUGUACACACCGCCCGUCGCUCCUACCGAUUGAGUGUGUUGGUGAGGAGUUCGGAUUGGCUCUUAGUGGUGGUUCGCCACCACCUAGAGCUGAGAAGUUCUCCAAACCGCCCCACUUAGAGGAAGGAGAAGUCGUAACA